RNAcentral lists this ribosomal RNA (466 nucleotides) under uncultured bacterium. Its description in RNAcentral is "SSU rRNA". It matches the Rfam family "Bacterial small subunit ribosomal RNA", at positions 26 to 521 of the family's 1533-position model. The record is from RNAcentral.
AGCCUGAACGCUGGCGGCGUGGCUAAGACAUGCAAGUCGCGCGGACGUAGCAAUACGUUAGUGGCGAACGGGUGAGUAAUGAAUCGCUAAUGUGCCCCGGACUCUGGGAUAGCCAGCCGAAAGGCUGGGUAAUACCAGAUGAUAUGCAGCGGUCGCAUGACCGUUGCCUCAAAGGUCCGCCGGUCUGGGAGCAGGCGAUUUUGUAUCAGCUAGUUGGUGAGGUAACGGCUCACCAAGGCGACGACGCAUAGCCGGACUGAGAGGUUGGCCGGCCACAUUGGGACUGAGACACUGCCCAGACUCCUACGGGGGGCUGCAGUAACGAAUCUUCCGCAAUGUACGAAGUAUGACGGAGCGACGCCGCGUGUAGGACGAAGCCCUUCGGGGUGUAAACUCCUGUCAGGGGAAAGAAGUUCUGAUCUACCCCAGAGGAAGAGGCGGCUAACUCUGCGCCAGCAGCCGCGGU